UGAAGUCAGAUGACAAGGCGUCUAUAGCAUCAUCUGGCCCUAUGGGUUUCGAAGAGUCUGCAGGAGGCCCUGUGAUCCCUUCCUUUUUAGCCAAUAGUUCCCUAUAUUUUGGAGGAAUUGUGACUUCUCUUUUACCCAAUUCCUCUAUGUAGGUGGAACUCAUUGGAUCUGAAACUUCUGGUCCAGUAUACGUUGUAUUUUCUUCUUCAGUUUCUUCAGGUCCUCCUAAAG
Molecule: unclassified non-coding RNA, 231 nt
Filed under: Hevea brasiliensis (rubber tree)
Lineage: Eukaryota; Viridiplantae; Streptophyta; Magnoliopsida; Malpighiales; Euphorbiaceae
Source: RNAcentral